CGGAAGACUAAUGACCGAAGCUUCAAGACUUUGACAUGUGUGAAAACAUGAAAUGACCCUUGGCUCUUAUUGUUCUUGCUGGUGUGGUAUGUUCACGGCUGAAAAGAUGGUCAGAAGGGGAAAGGAGGAAGUGAGAAGAAAGAAACAGGGAAAUGACAGAGUGUUGCUCAGUUACCCAGGCUGGAGUGCAAUGGCAUGAUCUUGGCUCACUGCAGCCUCCACCUCCUGGGUUCAAGCGGUUCUCGUGCCUCAGUCUCCCAAGUAGCUGGGAUUACAGACGAAAUCUUGCUCUGUUGCCCAGGCUGGAGUGCGAUGGCAUGAUCUUGGCUCACGGCAAACUCCGCCUCCCUGGUUCAAGUGAUUCUCCUGCCUCAGCCUCCCGAGUAGCCGGGAUUACAGGCAUGUGCCACCAUGCCCCGUUGGCCAGGCUGGUCUCGAACACCUUACCUCAGGUGAUCCUCCCACCUUUGGGAUUACAGAUCAAUGCUUGAGAUAUUUUGCAGACCCUGCAUGUGAUGGAUCAGCUGACACCAUCCAGAUCGGUAAACUGGUUCAUCUGAUCUUGUGCCCUCCACCCAGGAACUGACUCAGCGCAAGAAGACAGCUUCGACUCCUUGUGAUUUCAUCCCUAACCAAUCAGCACUCCUGGCUCACUGGCUUCCCCCAACCCACCAAAUUGUCCUUAAAAACUCUGCUCUCCAAACGCUGGGGGAGACUGAUUUGAGUAAUAAUAAAACCCUGGUCUCCUGCACAGUUGGCUCUGCGUGAAUUACUCUUUCUCUAUUCCAAUUCCCUUAUUUUGGUGAAUUGGCUCUGUCUACGCAGUGGGCAAGGU
Molecule: long non-coding RNA, 835 nt
Filed under: Homo sapiens (human)
Lineage: Eukaryota; Metazoa; Chordata; Mammalia; Primates; Hominidae
Description: HSALNT0367863
Source: RNAcentral